AUGAGGGACUUCCCGUCCUGCUUCGGGGAGAGCGGCGUCCAGAUCGCGGACGCCGCGUCCUCCUCCAGCAGCGCCGGCAAGGGCGCGGCGCAGAACCUGGUCACCUGCCUCUACCAGACGCAGCUCGCCGGCCGGCCCUGCGUCGUCUCCGUCACCUGGAGCAAGAGCCUCAUGGGGCAGGGCCUCAGCGUCGCCGUCGACGGCCUCUCCGGCCAGAGCCUCUGCAAGGCGGACAUCAAGCCCUGGCUCUUCUCCAAGAAGAAGGGCUCCAAGAGCCUCGACGUCGACGGCGGCAAGGUCGACAUCUUCUGGGACCUCUCCGCCGCCAGGUUCGGCGCCGGGCCGGAGCCGCUGGAGAGCUUCUACGUCGCGCUGGUCUCCGACCUCGAGCUCGCGCUCCUGCUCGGCGACAUGAAGAAGGACGCCUACCGCAAGACCGGCGCCAACCGGCCGGCGCUCAACGCCGCCUUCGUCGCCAGGAAGGAGCACAUCUACGGCAAGAAGAUUUACUCCGCCAAGGCGCAGUUCUGCGACAAUGGCCAGUUCCACGACCUGGUGAUAGAGUGCGACACCGUCGGCCUCAAGGACCCGUGCCUUGAGAUACGCAUCGACAAGAAGCCGGUGAUGCAGGUGAAGAGGCUGGCAUGGAAGUUCAGGGGAAACCAGACGAUCCUCGUCGACGGCCUGCCGGUGGAGGUGUUCUGGGACGUCCACAGCUGGCUCUUCGGGCCGACGACGGCGAGCAACGCGGUGUUCAUGUUCCAGACAUGCCAGGCGCCCGAGAAGUCGAUGCCGUGGUCGUACUCGCAGAUUUUUAGGGAGUCCCAGCUGCAGGGCCUCGGCUUCUCGCUCAUCCUACAUGCAUGGAAGAUUGAGUAG
RNAcentral lists this ribosomal RNA (879 nucleotides) under Triticum aestivum (bread wheat). Its description in RNAcentral is "partial small subunit ribosomal RNA". The record is from RNAcentral. Lineage: Eukaryota; Viridiplantae; Streptophyta; Magnoliopsida; Poales; Poaceae.